GGGCCCGCACAAGCGGUGGAGCAUGUGGUUUAAUUCGAUGCAACGCGAAGAACCUUACCUACUCUUGACAUCCUGCGAAUUUGGUAGAGAUACCUUAGUGCCUUCGGGAACGCAGAGACAGGUGCUGCAUGGCUGUCGUCAGCUCGUGUUGUGAAAUGUUGGGUUAAGUCCCGUAACGAGCGCAACCCUUGUCCUUAUUUGCCAGCGCGUAAUGGCGGGAACUCUAAGGAGACUGCCGGUGACAAACCGGAGGAAGGUGGGGACGACGUCAAGUCAUCAUGGCCCUUACGAGUAGGGCUACACACGUGCUACAAUGGUCGGUACAAAGGGUUGCCAACUCGCGAGAGUGAGCCAAUCCCGAAAAGCCGAUCUCAGUCCGGAUCGGAGUCUGCAACUCGACUCCGUGAAGUCGGAAUCGCUAGUAAUCGUGGAUC
This 434-nucleotide ribosomal RNA is filed under the name uncultured bacterium. RNAcentral describes it as "bacterial SSU rRNA". It matches the Rfam family "Bacterial small subunit ribosomal RNA", at positions 917 to 1350 of the family's 1533-position model. The record is from RNAcentral.